Molecule: long non-coding RNA, 221 nt
Filed under: Homo sapiens (human)
Lineage: Eukaryota; Metazoa; Chordata; Mammalia; Primates; Hominidae
Description: HSALNT0220631
Source: RNAcentral
CUCCUGGAUGGCAUUUUUUGAACCGCCCUGGACCAGAAGGGAGCCUACUUCCCUGAAGGCCCUGACUCCUGUAUGGCAUCACUGGACCUGAGGACUGGGAGAACUAGCCACCCUGAAGAGAAGGACAGACGCCUGGCUGGCUUCACCACCUGCUGAUUGUAGAGUCCUAGGGCCUUGUACAAAUGUAAGUGGCAAUCAGUGGCUACAAUGGCCCUUGGGCG